RNAcentral lists this ribosomal RNA (601 nucleotides) under uncultured bacterium. RNAcentral's name for it is "bacterial SSU rRNA". It matches the Rfam family "Bacterial small subunit ribosomal RNA", at positions 249 to 847 of the family's 1533-position model. The record is from RNAcentral.
ACGGUGGGGUAUCGGCUCACCGUGGCGAUGAUGGGUAGCCGGCCUGAGAGGGUGGACGGCCACAUUGGAAGUGAGACACGGUCCAGACUCCUACGGGAGGCAGCAGCUAAGAAUCUUCCGCAAUGGGCGAAAUCCUGACGGAGCGACGCCGCGUGAACGAAGAAGGCCGUGAGGUUGUAAAGUUCUUUUCGGGAGGGGGAACGAGGUUGCCAGGCAAUGGGCGGCCGAUGACGUGAAUCCCGGAAUAAGCCCCGGCUAACUACGUGCCAGCAGCCGCGGUAACACGUAGGGGGCGAGCGUUGUUCGGAAUCAUUGGGCGUAAAGGGCGUGCAGGCGGCCGCCAAAGUCCGGCUUGAAAGACCCAGGCUCAACCUGGGGGGUGCGCCGGAUACUGGGCGGCUUGAGUACAGGAGGGGACGGCGGAAUUCCAGGUGUAGGGGUGAAAUCUGUAGAUAUCUGGAGGAACACCGAUGGCGAAGGCAGCCGUCUGGCCAUGUACUGACGCUGAGGCGCGAAGGUGCGGGGAGCAAACAGGUUUAGAUACCCUGGUAGUCCGCACAGUAAACGAUGUGCACCAGGCGGCGGGGGCAACCUCGCUGCC